ACACCGCAUUCUGAAUUGUCCCCAGAAGGCUCACUGCAGCUAUCUACAGACCAUGGGUGAUGAGCUGCACUCAGAAUCUUAACGUGGUCAGUGAAAGAAGAAUCACAUCUGUUCAUCUGAACCCAAUACAUUGCCAGUAGGUGGUCACAGCAAAACAGGAUAAAACCCAAAGAAAUGUAAUGAAACAAUUAUAGACAGCCGUGAGUAGAAAGACAUUUGUGGAUCCAGUUAAUUCUGCUUCAUCUUUGUUAUAUAAAUCUAUUUUCCAAACUUAAUGUAUUGCCUGAGCUUGUAAUAUAGGAUUAACAGAAUGUCUGCACCACUCAGGAGUCUGGAGAAAAAUGUAAGAAAGAUGUUAAUUCUCCAACAUUUUAGGUAACUAAAUAUUUUGGGCAUGAUUGAUCUCACAUAGUGCUUUGGAUUUAUGCUUUGCAUGACAGAUGGAAAUCAGAAUAUAUGCACUGAUGCUCUCCCUGAUGUUGAAAACUUCUGACUUCUGUGAAGAAUCAGAGAAAAAGAGCCAUAACACUUCCCUCCUCCUGGAGCUAACCUGGUCUUUCCUAAAAUCAUGCAGUUUCAUAGGUCAUGGCCCAGAAAACAGGAGUCCCCCCAGCUCUUCCUGCCAGUGCUACACGUACCGGGCACCGUGAGUGGAGGAGGGUUGCAAACAGUGGAAAUGUGAUGCUGCCAGAGGUCUGGGGGCAAUUAUUCCAUUCCCUCUGCAGUUGUUUGAGGUGCUUAAACAGCAUGAAGCAGAUGCCUAGGUUCUUAAUAAGGCUUCCUGGGAAAAUCCACACUGUUUCAAAACCGUAUCAGAACCAAAACUACGGAAAGAUUAAUCAAGCUUGGGUCAAGAGGGAAGAAGGAUGCAAUAGCUUUUGACAGCAGUGAACUGAUAAAUGAUACACCCAACGUUGAGCUCUUUUACGAGUCAGAAUAUUCAGUGCAUCACAUCAAAAACUCCUUUAGACUAUUGACAUAUUAGAAAGAACAUGGCAAAAGAUGGUGAAGAUAAUAGAACCAUCAAAGAUACAUUUUAAAUUUACUACUUGCAUGCUUACACUAAUCUGACAAUCAUAAAGCCUUACUAUAUAUCAAAUGGAA
Aptenodytes forsteri (emperor penguin) is the source of this 1104-nucleotide long non-coding RNA. RefSeq lists it as uncharacterized. The transcript is spliced from 3 exons. NCBI's taxonomy places the organism in Eukaryota, Metazoa, Chordata, Aves, Sphenisciformes, Spheniscidae. The record is from RefSeq and is a predicted model, not a curated record.